This 1217-nucleotide long non-coding RNA is filed under the name Felis catus (domestic cat). RNAcentral describes it as "lncRNA (ENSFCAG00000052512.1)". The record is from RNAcentral. Lineage: Eukaryota; Metazoa; Chordata; Mammalia; Carnivora; Felidae.
GUGUGUGUGUGUGAUGUGUGUGUGUGGUGUGUGUGUGUGUGUUGUUGUGUUGUGUGUUGUGUUGUGUGUUGUUUUGUGUGUGUGUGUGUUGUGUGUGGUGUGUGUGUGUGUGUUGUGUGUGUUUGUUGUGUGUGUGUGGUGUGUUUGUGUUGUGUUGUGUGUGAUGUGUGUGUGUGUUUGUUGUGUGUGUGUGUUUGUUGUGUGUGAUGUGUGUGUGUGUUUGUGUUUUUGUGUGUGUGUGUGUGUGUUGUGUGUGAUGUGUGUGUGUGUGUUGUUUUGUGUGUUGUGUGUGUGUUGUUGUUGUGUGUGUGUGAUGUGUGUGUGUUGUUUUGUGUGUGUUGUGUGUGUGAUGUGUGUGUUGUGUGUGUUGUUUUGUGUGUGUGUUGUGUGUUGUGUGUGUGUGUUGUUGUGUGUGUGUUGUGUGUGUGUGUGUGUUGUGUGUGAUGUGUGUGUGUGUGUGUUGUGUGUUGUGUGUGUGUUGUGUGUGUGUUGUGUUGUGUGUUGUGUUGUGUGUUGUGUGUGUUGUGUGUGUUGUUUGUGUGUUGUGUGUUGUGUGUUGUGUUGUGUGUUGUGUGUGUGUGUGUGUGUGUGUGUUGUGUGUUGUGAUUGUGCAGUAUAUGUGUUGUGUGUGUGUGGUGUGUGGGGUGAGUGCAUAUGGUAUGUGUGGUGCCUGUGUUUGCAAUAUUUUUGUUUAUUGUGCAUGUGUGGUAGAUGGAUAGUAAAAGCGUGGAUGUGGUAUAUGUGUGGUCACUUUCUAUGGUAUAUGUGUGAUGUGCAUGUACAUUUAAUGUGUGUGGUAUAUAUGAGGAGUGUCUUGUGUUGUAUAUGUGUUGUGUGUGUGGUAUAUGGUAUAUGGUAUAGUGUUGUAUGUGUUUAGGGUUUUUGCGUUAUGUGUGGGGUUUGCAGUGUAUGUGCGGUGUGUGCAAUGUAUGGCUGGUGGGCUUAUGUUUUAUGUGUGUUAUGUGUGUCCUGUGUCCAUUGUGUCAUGUAUGUGAUGUAUGUGCGGUGUAUGUAUCAUAUCAUGGGUGUGUUGUGUGUGGUGUGUGUGUUUGUGUGUUGUGUGUUUGUGUGUUUGUGUGUUGUGUGUUGUGUUUUGUGUGUGUGUGUUGUUUUUGUGUGUUGUGUGUGUGGUAUAUGUGUGGUGUGUUGUGUUUUUUUGUGUUUUUGUGUGUGUUUGUGUGUUGUGUGUGUGGUAUAUGUGUGGUGUGUUUGUUCUG